CCUAGAGGCACUGCAGGUGUGGCUGUAGUGUCACACGUGUGUCAGUAGAGAAGAGACCACCAGAACAGU
Molecule: small nucleolar RNA, 69 nt
Filed under: Meriones unguiculatus (Mongolian gerbil)
Lineage: Eukaryota; Metazoa; Chordata; Mammalia; Rodentia; Muridae
Description: Small nucleolar RNA SNORA17 (ENSMUGG00000007751.1)
Rfam family: Small nucleolar RNA SNORA17
About the family: snoRNA ACA 17 belongs to the H/ACA family of snoRNAs and is predicted to guide pseudouridylation of the 28S rRNA at positions U4659 and U4598. It shares the same host gene together with ACA43.
Source: RNAcentral